AUGCCUGACUUUGAUCGAAGCAGCUUCUAUACUACUUGGGUGUAUCCUGUCAGCCAGGUGCAGGGUGUCCAGUGUGAGGUGCAGCUGGUGGAGUCUGGGGGAGGCUUGGUCCAGCCUGGGGGGUCCCUGACACUCUCCUGUGCAGCCUCCGGAUUCACCUUCAGCAGCUACGUGAUGUACUGGUUCCGCCAGGCUCCAGGGAAGGGGCUGGAAUGGGUCUCGAGAAUUAGUAGUAGUGGUGGUAGCACAAGCUACGCAGACGCCCUGAAGGGCCGGUUCACCAUCUCCAGAGACAACAGCAAGAACACGCUGUCUCUGCAAAUGAACAGUCUGCGAGCCGAGGACACGGCCGUGUACUACUGUGCGAAAGACACAGUGAGGGGACAUCAGUCUGAGCCCAGAUACAAACCUGCUGUGGGGGCUCGUGGCCGCCAGGUGGCGCGCGUUGCACAAGGAGCAGAGUCAGCCCAGGGCAGUCUCUGA
This is a non-coding RNA of Propithecus coquereli (Coquerel's sifaka), 483 nucleotides long. Lineage: Eukaryota; Metazoa; Chordata; Mammalia; Primates; Indriidae. The record is from the annotation of a RefSeq genome assembly.